Eubalaena glacialis (North Atlantic right whale) is the source of this 1283-nucleotide long non-coding RNA. RefSeq lists it as uncharacterized. The record is from RefSeq and is a predicted model, not a curated record. NCBI's taxonomy places the organism in Eukaryota, Metazoa, Chordata, Mammalia, Artiodactyla, Balaenidae. The transcript has 4 exons.
UCGGCGGCUGGCAGGCUACAGGGAGGUUCGGAAACCCUCCGGUGGGAACCAGGAGUUUCUGGUCAAAGGCUGUUCCGCGCCUUCAGGGUCAGUCCUCGCUGCAUCCCUGUUCACCUUCUUCUCUCUCGGUCUCCAGGCACUUAGGGCAGCCUCACUCGCUAGCCCGCUGGGCGCCGCCACGGGUCUGGGGCCCCAGGGCGGGGACGGGGAGAAGACAGCCGAUUGUUGAAGAGAGCUUUACUCCUGUGGCAACCCCGCCACCAUCCCGGCUACUGCUGCUGGUUCAUGACAGCGCUGAGGGCUUCUGACAGGCUACCACUGCGACCUCGCGGAGCAUGUCUCCCCUAUCCUUUGGGCGAAAUGCUGGACAAGCCCCGCCGAUCGCUCUCCACUAGCCAGAUCUGGCCAACUUCAGUGCCUGGCCCCCGUAAAGAAGAUCAGAGCAAGAACCUCUGCAUUUGUUGGUAGCUGCCAAAGAGUAAGAACCUCUGUGGGGUACUGCAUUGCUGCUGCUGCCACAAACCCAAGGAGAAAGACCCAGAAAGACCAAGGUGAUUUCCACAUGGGAGAUAUGGGGACUAAGACAGUAGGGUAAGAGGAGAAGCACUGUCUCCUCCUUAGGGAUAGAUCUGAGAGCCAGCCAAUGAGACUGAAAGGAUCCAUGAGAUGCAAGUCCAAUCCUCUCUGAGAUGCUGCUCACAAGCCAAGUGACCAGAGUCCAGAGUCCACAGCUGGGUCCUGGGCCCCUUCAAACUACCUCACAGGGUUGUUGUGAGGAUGUCACGAGAUCAUGUGCCCAACACAGUAAAGAGCUCAAUAAAUGUCUCUUGAACAGAUCCAUACAUGUGAUGGUGCUUUGCAAACUAUAAAGCUCCAUGCCAAGUGGUAGAGAGAGUCAGGACACUGUUUUGCAGUCACAUAAAGGAAGUGAUUUUUGCCACUCAUUCUCACCCCUCACUUAAGACUGGGGCAUGGGAAGGAAAUGGAGAGGAGGGAGAAGUUUGAAAUAGGAAAUAAAGGAAUAAGAGAACAACAAAUAAAAGAAGAACCUAAAGGCAGAUUAUUCUCCAGGGACCAACUUGUAUUUGAGAGUGGCAAUGAGGAUACAGACAGGAGGGACUUAGAACUCUUUCUAGGGACAGAAGAACAGAGUUCAAAUGGAUCUUAGAUAUUUACUUCAAGGCCCCAGCUCCUGUUUGCAACACCUCCAAUGAUGGGUAACUGUUUUCUCCCUGAGGCAGCUGGUUCUAAUUAUAACCAGUUCUAAUGGUUAGAAAGUACUU